Molecule: ribosomal RNA, 210 nt
Filed under: uncultured bacterium
Lineage: Bacteria
Description: partial 16S ribosomal RNA
Rfam family: Bacterial small subunit ribosomal RNA
Source: RNAcentral
GACGAACGCUGGCGGCGUGCUUAACACAUGCAAGUCGAGCGGUAAGGCCCUUUCGGGGUACGACAGCGGCGAACGGGUGAGUAACACGUGGGUGACCUCGCCCUCCAGCUCUGGGAGUAAGCCUCGGGAAACCGGGGUACUAAUAACUGGAUAUGACUCCAUGACGCAUGUUGUGGGGUGGAAAGCCUUGUGCGGCUGAGGAUGGGCCCG